Molecule: ribosomal RNA, 427 nt
Filed under: uncultured Ramlibacter sp.
Lineage: Bacteria; Pseudomonadati; Pseudomonadota; Betaproteobacteria; Burkholderiales; Comamonadaceae
Description: bacterial SSU rRNA
Rfam family: Bacterial small subunit ribosomal RNA
Source: RNAcentral
UGGGGAAUUUUGGACAAUGGGCGCAAGCCUGAUCCAGCCAUUCCGCGUGCAGGAUGAAGGCCCUCGGGUUGUAAACUGCUUUUGGACGGAACGAAAAGGUGCUCUCUAAUACAGGGCGCUGAUGACGGUACCGUCAGAAUAAGCACCGGCUAACUACGUGCCAGCAGCCGCGGUAAUACGUAGGGUGCAAGCGUUAAUCGGAAUUACUGGGCGUAAAGCGUGCGCAGGCGGUGAUGUAAGACAGGUGUGAAAUCCCCGGGCUUAACCUGGGAACUGCAUUUGUGACUGCAUCGCUGGAGUGCGGCAGAGGGGGAUGGAAUUCCGCGUGUAGCAGUGAAAUGCGUAGAUAUGCGGAGGAACACCGAUGGCGAAGGCAAUCCCCUGGGCCUGCACUGACGCUCAUGCACGAAAGCGUGGGGAGCAAACA